AGUGAACGCUGGCGGUAGGCCUAACACAUGCAAGUCGAACGGCAGCACAGUAAGAGCUUGCUCUUACGGGUGGCGAGUGGCGGACGGGUGAGGAAUACAUCGGAAUCUACUUUUUCGUGGGGGAUAACGUAGGGAAACUUACGCUAAUACCGCAUACGACCUACGGGUGAAAGCAGGGGAUCUUCGGACCUUGCGCGAUUGAAUGAGCCGAUGUCGGAUUAGCUAGUUGGCGGGGUAAAGGCCCACCAAGGCGACGAUCCGUAGCUGGUCUGAGAGGAUGAUCAGCCACACUGGAACUGAGACACGGUCCAGACUCCUACGGGAGGCAGCAGUGGGGAAUAUUGGACAAUGGGCGCAAGCCUGAUCCAGCCAUACCGCGUGGGUGAAGAAGGCCUUCGGGUUGUAAAGCCCUUUUGUUAGGAAAGAAAAGCAGCAGGUGAAUACCCCGCUGUUCUGACGGUACCCAAAGAAUAAGCACCGGCUAACUUCGUG
This 492-nucleotide ribosomal RNA is filed under the name uncultured bacterium. Its description in RNAcentral is "partial 16S ribosomal RNA". It matches the Rfam family "Bacterial small subunit ribosomal RNA", at positions 29 to 507 of the family's 1533-position model. The record is from RNAcentral.